GAACGCACAUUGCGCCCUGUGGUAUUCCGCAGGGCAUGCCUGUUCGAGCGUCAUUUCAACCCUCAAGCUCCGCUUGGUGUUGGGCCCUGCCCCCGCGGCCGGCCCCAAAGACAGUGGCGGCGCCGCUUGGCCCUAAGCGUAGUACAUCUCUCGCUCUAGGACCCGGCGGUGGCCUGCCAGAACCCCAAACUCAUGUGGUUGACCUCGGAUCAGGUAGGGAUACCCGCUGAACUUAAG
This 237-nucleotide unclassified non-coding RNA is filed under the name uncultured Oidiodendron. Its description in RNAcentral is "sequence contains 5.8S rRNA gene". The stretch from base 1 to 53 matches the Rfam family "5.8S ribosomal RNA", at positions 102 to 154 of the family's 154-position model. The record is from RNAcentral. Lineage: Eukaryota; Fungi; Ascomycota; Leotiomycetes; Myxotrichaceae.